GAGUGCAACAGGGAUUGGGAUGCCCCUUUCGUC
This 33-nucleotide ribosomal RNA is filed under the name Boodlea composita. Its description in RNAcentral is "s-rRNA". Lineage: Eukaryota; Viridiplantae; Chlorophyta; Ulvophyceae; Cladophorales; Boodleaceae. The record is from RNAcentral.